AUGAUUACUGUGCUAAAAGAAAACCCUACUGUGAAACAGAUGAAUGAUGCAUUCUUCUUGUAUCUUGGUAAAACCUGGAGGUGUUCUGGUAAACUGAUUGAACCUGGAUUGUUUUUCUUGAGAUUUCCUAAUAUCAAAGGAGUGGAAAAAGCGUGCUACAACGACCGUAUGACAAUGAAACCGUGUGGAACAGUGGUGAGGGUUACUAGAUGGGAGCACGAUGAUGGGGAAAAAGGGGUGCCGGAGAAAGCAUGGGUAAAAGUUGGUAGAAUCCCAACUGACAAGAGAUGUGAAAGAAAUGUUGCCUUUGUAGCCUCUCUUGCUGCAGUGCCGCUGGAGAUUGAUAUGGCUACCCUACGUCGUCCUAAUUCUGUCAGAGUUAAAUUGGGUUGUCGUAAUGUUGACGAGAUCAUCCCAGUGGCUGAGUCAGUCCUGGGGGUUCGUUUUUAUGACUUCAUCUUUGAUGUGGAGCGGGUGCUCGUGAGAAAUUCUGAUAGAGAGAAUAUUCGCACUAAAACCUCUGCUGAACAGGGGGGACCUUCACCCAAAAAACAAAAAAGAGCAUGUAUCAAUGAGGAUCAGAUGGGCAGUUCUUCUGGGGGAGUGCAGGAUGUGGGUGAGAAGAAAACUGUGGGGAAACAGUGUGUGAACAAUUCUUUGGACUCGCCUGUCUCGAUGAACUCUGAUAGUUCAAACCAUGACACCCUCCUGAUUCACACGAUGGAGCAAGAGGCCUUGGCUGCCACUGAAAAAUCCAAUGAGAAUUCAAAAGCCCUUUCUCUAUCCUAUGAUAUGUGUAACCAGAUUGCUGCGUUUGAUGUUGGAAAUGGAAGUGUUAAAAAGACUUAUGCUGAGAGUGUGAAGGGCUCAAUCAAAGUUACUGAGUUGGAGGGCCCGUUUGGUGCUGUUGAUGACUACAGUUGA
RNAcentral lists this ribosomal RNA (924 nucleotides) under Triticum aestivum (bread wheat). RNAcentral describes it as "partial small subunit ribosomal RNA". Lineage: Eukaryota; Viridiplantae; Streptophyta; Magnoliopsida; Poales; Poaceae. The record is from RNAcentral.